CAGCAGCCACGGUAACACGUAGGGUGCGAGCGUUAAUCGGAAUUACUGGGCGUAAAGCGUGCGCAGGCGGUUCGUUAAGACAGAUGUGAAAUCCCCGGGCUUAACCUGGAAACUGCAUUUGUGACUGGCGAGCUAGAGUAUGGCAGAGGGGGGUAGAAUUCCACGUGUAGCAGUGAAAUGCGUAGAGAUGUGGAGGAAUACCGAUGGCGAAGGCAGCCCCCUGGGCCAAUACUGACGCUCAUGCACGAAAGCGUGGGGAGCAAGCAGGAUUAGAUACCCCAGUAGUCCCUGUCUCUUAUAC
Molecule: ribosomal RNA, 301 nt
Filed under: uncultured bacterium
Lineage: Bacteria
Description: partial 16S ribosomal RNA
Rfam family: Bacterial small subunit ribosomal RNA
Source: RNAcentral